This 459-nucleotide ribosomal RNA is filed under the name uncultured bacterium. RNAcentral describes it as "partial 16S ribosomal RNA". It matches the Rfam family "Bacterial small subunit ribosomal RNA", at positions 338 to 795 of the family's 1533-position model. The record is from RNAcentral.
CCUACGGGAGGCAGCAGUGAGGAAUAUUGGUCAAUGGGCGGGAGCCUGAACCAGCCAAGCCGCGUGAGGGAAGAAGGUACAGCGUAUCGUAAACCUCUUUUGUCAGGGAACAAAGGCGGGGACUAGUCCCCGGAUGAGGGUACCUGAAGAAAAAGCAUCGGCUAACUCCGGGCCAGCAGCCGCGGUAAUACGGAGGUUGCGAGCGUUAUCCGGAUGUAUGGGGGUUAAAGGGUCAGCAGGGGGCCUGUUAAGUCAGUGGGAAAAGCCCGGGGCUAAACCCAGGCGAGCCGUUGAAACUGGCGGGCUGGAGUUGGAGAGAGGUACGUGGAAUGCGCGGUGUAGCGGUGAAAUGCUUAGAUAUCGCGCAGAACCCUGAUUGCGAAGGCAGCGUACCGGCUCCACACUGACGCUGAGGCACGAAAGCGUGGGUAUCGAACAGGAUUAGAUACCCCUGUAGUC